RNAcentral lists this ribosomal RNA (253 nucleotides) under uncultured bacterium. RNAcentral's name for it is "partial 16S ribosomal RNA". It matches the Rfam family "Bacterial small subunit ribosomal RNA", at positions 524 to 776 of the family's 1533-position model. The record is from RNAcentral.
UACAGAGGAGCCAAGCGUUGUCCGGAUUGACUGGGCGUAAAGCGCACGCAGGCGGAUGCGCGCGUGGGGUGUGAAAUCUGGCCGCUUAACGGCCAGGCGCCAUCCCAUACGGCGCGUCUGGAGUGAGGCAGAGGUCGAUGGAAUUGCCGGUGUAGUGGUGAAAUGCGUAGAGAUCGGCAGGAACACCCAGGGGGAAACCAGUCGACUGGGCAUCUACUGACGCUGAGGUGCGAGAGCGUGGGGAGCGAACCGG